Molecule: transfer RNA, 109 nt
Organism: Candida tropicalis MYA-3404
Lineage: Eukaryota; Fungi; Ascomycota; Pichiomycetes; Serinales; Debaryomycetaceae
Rfam family: tRNA
About the family: Transfer RNA (tRNA) molecules are approximately 80 nucleotides in length.
Source: Rfam
CUCUCGAUAGCUCAGUUGGUAGAGCAUUAGACUGUAAUGGAAUACAAUUUGUUGCAAUUCAACCAACCUUGCCAUCUAAUGGUCGGGUGUUCGACUCACCCUCGGGAGA